UUGGAGGUUGUGCCCUUGAGGCGUGGCUCCGGAGCUAACGCGUUAAGUCGACCGCCUGGGAAGUACGGCCGCAAGGUUAAACUCUCAAAUGAAUGGACGAGGGCCCGCACAAGCGGUGGAGCAUGUGGUUUAAUUCGAUGCAACGCGAAGAACCUUACCUGGCCUUGACAUCCACGGAAUUCGGCAGAGAUGCCUUAGUGCCUUCGGGACCCGUGAGACAGGUGCUGCAUGGCUGUCGUCAGCUCGUGUUGUGAAUGGGUGGGUUAAGUUCCCCAACAAGCGCAACCUUUAUCCUUUGUUGCCCGCGCGUGGUGGCGGGAACUCAAAGGAGACUGCCGGUGACAAACCGGAGGAAGGUGGGGAUGACGUCAAGUCAUCAUGGCCCUUACGGCCAGGGCUACACACGUGCUACAAUGGCGCAUACAAAGAGAAGCGACCUCGCGAGAGCAAGCGGACCUCAUAAAGUGCGUCGUAGUCCGGAUCGGAGUCUGCAACUCGACUCCGUGAAGUCGGAAUCGCUAGUAAUCGUAGAUCAGAACGCUACGGUGAAUACGUUCCCGGGCCUUGUACACACCGCCCGUCACACCAUGGGAGUGGGUUGCAAAAGAAGUAGGUAGCCUAAGGCCCUAGGCGCUUACCACUUUGUGAUUCAUGACUGGGGAAGAACAAGGUAACC
RNAcentral lists this ribosomal RNA (676 nucleotides) under uncultured Erwinia sp. Its description in RNAcentral is "bacterial SSU rRNA". It matches the Rfam family "Bacterial small subunit ribosomal RNA", at positions 817 to 1501 of the family's 1533-position model. The record is from RNAcentral. Lineage: Bacteria; Pseudomonadati; Pseudomonadota; Gammaproteobacteria; Enterobacterales; Erwiniaceae.